AACGCGAAGAACCUUACCUACUCUUGACAUCCACGGAACUUGCCAGAGAUGGCUUGGUGCCUUCGGGAACCGUGAGACAGGUGCUGCAUGGCUGUCGUCAGCUCGUGUUGUGAAAUGUUGGGUUAAGUCCCGCAACGAGCGCAACCCUUAUCCUUUGUUGCCAGCGAUUCGGUCGGGAACUCAAAGGAGACUGCCGGUGAUAAACCGGAGGAAGGUGGGGAUGACGUCAAGUCAUCAUGGCCCUUACGAGUAGGGCUACACACGUGCUACAAUGGCAUAUACAAAGAGAAGCAAACUCGCGAGAGCCAGCGGACCUCAUAAAGUAUGUCGUAGUCCGGAUUGGAGUCUGCAACUCGACUCCAUGAAGUCGGAAUCGCUAGUAAUCGUAGAUCAGAAUGCUACGGUGAAUACGUUCCCGGGUCUUGUACACACCG
RNAcentral lists this ribosomal RNA (434 nucleotides) under gamma proteobacterium L-4. Its description in RNAcentral is "bacterial SSU rRNA". It matches the Rfam family "Bacterial small subunit ribosomal RNA", at positions 958 to 1392 of the family's 1533-position model. Lineage: Bacteria; Pseudomonadati; Pseudomonadota; Gammaproteobacteria. The record is from RNAcentral.